Molecule: small nuclear RNA, 150 nt
Filed under: Fukomys damarensis (Damara mole-rat)
Lineage: Eukaryota; Metazoa; Chordata; Mammalia; Rodentia; Bathyergidae
Description: U2 spliceosomal RNA
Rfam family: U2 spliceosomal RNA
About the family: U2 is a small nuclear RNA (snRNA) component of the spliceosome (involved in pre-mRNA splicing). Complementary binding between U2 snRNA (in an area lying towards the 5' end but 3' to hairpin I) and the branchpoint sequence (BPS) of the intron results the bulging out of an unpaired adenosine, on the BPS, which initiates a nucleophilic attack at the intronic 5' splice site, thus starting the first of two transesterification reactions that mediate splicing.
Source: Rfam by way of RNAcentral
AUUGCUUCUUGGCCUUUUGGCUUAGAUCAAGUGUAAAAUGCUAUCUCCUUAUUUUAGGAUGUUUCUGAGGUUUUCAGUUUAAGGCUAUACAGUUCUAUAAUGCUAGGUUGAAAAUACGACUGUUGAAAUAUGUAGUGCGUAGUAAUCAAA